Schistocerca americana (American grasshopper) is the source of this 991-nucleotide long non-coding RNA. RefSeq lists it as uncharacterized. The record is from RefSeq and is a predicted model, not a curated record. NCBI's taxonomy places the organism in Eukaryota, Metazoa, Arthropoda, Insecta, Orthoptera, Acrididae. The transcript has 3 exons.
UGUGUUUCAAGAAUUAAUUGUUCUAUAUAUAUAAAGAAAAGAAAAAAACAGUUGCAAUAUUGUAUUUAGCAGAAAUACGUGAAUUAAUGCCUCCAGGUAGGCCUAUACAAGACUAUAGUCCUGGACAAUUUGAAAACCAUUUCAGUCAAAGAAGAAAAAACAGAUGAGAUGUGUGCUAAGCCAGACACCAUGAAGUGACUGUAAUGGCAGAGAUGAAGGCUGAGAGAGGGAGUUUUGUGAGCGACCUGCGCAUGCUGCUGGGAGCUUAAAAUGGCGCAGACGUGACUCUGGCGCCCAGGAGCUCGGAGCAGUCAGCACAGUCACAUCUUGGCAGGGAGGAGCCCCGUCUUCGACGCCAUGUUGUGUUUCUUGCAUCUCACUUCACAACAUAGCUGCGAACACGGGGCUUCUUGCUGCCAUGUCGCAGAUUGAGCAUGCAGCCACUUAGCAGAGGUAACUGACGUAAGAGAAGCUCCCUUACAGCAGUUGUGAAACAAUCCCUAACCAUACCGUAGCUUGCAUUAUAGUCCAGCAACACAGUGGACUGAACUGUCCAAAAUAGCAGCAAAUGGGUUACAUUUGCACACUCACAUCUUGGCAGGGAGGAACCCCGUCUUCGGCGCCAUGUUGUGUUUCUUGCAUUUCACUUCACAACAUAGCUGCGAAGACGGGGCUUCUUGCUGCCAUGUCGCAGAUUGAGAUGCAAGAAGCAUGCAGCAGAGGUAACUGACAUAAGAGAAGCUCCCUUACAGCAGUUGUGAAACAAUCCCUAACCAUACCUUGACCUGCAUUAUAGUCCAGCAACACUGUGGACUGAACUGUCCAAAAUAACAGCAAGUGUGUUACAUUGGAAUAUGGAGUAUCUUGCGUGGGUUAUUUUGCCAUCUCUUGACCCUAAAUAUUUAUAAAAGAACCAAUUCGCGAUAGUAAAAAAAACUACACAUCUUUCAUUAAUUGCAGCUAAAGGAUAAUUUGAAACCUAAUACAAAAA